CCAAAGGCUCUUUUUAGAGCCACCCACAAAAAUCAAAAAAGAACUGU
Non-coding RNA from Chelonia mydas (Green sea turtle), 47 nucleotides. NCBI's taxonomy places the organism in Eukaryota, Metazoa, Chordata, Testudines, Cheloniidae. The record is from Rfam.